CGCUGGCGGCGUGCUUAACACCUGCACGUCGAACGGCAAGGCCCUGCUUUUGUGGGGUGCUCGAGUGGCGAACGGGUGAGUAACACGUGAGUAACCUGCCCUUGACUUUGGGAUAACUUCAGGAAACUGGGGCUAAUACCGGAUAGGAGCUCCUGCUGCAUGGUGGGGGUUGGAAAGUUUCGGCGGUUGGGGAUGGACUCGCGGCUUAUCAGCUUGUUGGUGGGGUAGUGGCUUACCAAGGCUUUGACGGGUAGCCGGCCUGAGAGGGUGACCGGCCACAUUGGGACUGAGAUACGGCCCAGACUCCUACGGGAGGCAGCAGUGGGGAAUAUUGCACAAUGGGCGGAAGCCUGAUGCAGCAACGCCGCGUGCGGGAUGACGGCCUUCGGGUUGUAAACCGCUUUCGCCUGUGACGAAGCGUGAGUGACGGUAAUGGGUAAAGAAGCACCGGCUAACUACGUG
RNAcentral lists this ribosomal RNA (462 nucleotides) under uncultured bacterium. RNAcentral's name for it is "partial 16S ribosomal RNA". It matches the Rfam family "Bacterial small subunit ribosomal RNA", at positions 34 to 507 of the family's 1533-position model. The record is from RNAcentral.